AUACGGAGGAUCCGAGCGUUAUCCGGAUUUAUUGGGUUUAAAGGGUGCGCAGGCGGCCAUUUAAGUCAGCGGUUAAAUCGUGGGGCUCAACCCCAUUCUGCCGUUGAUACUGGGUGGCUUGAUUGCGGUCGAGGUUGGCGGAAUUCGUUGUGUAGCGGUGAAAUGCAUAGAUAUGACGAAGAACACCGAUUGCGUAGGCAGCUGACCAGACCGCAAAUGACGCUCAUGCACGAAAGUGCGGGGAUCGAACAGGAUUAGAUACCCUGGUAGUCCGCACAGUAAACGAUGAAUACUUGUUUUCGGCGAUAUAAUGUCGGAGGCAAAGCGAAAGCGAUAAGUAUUCCACCUGGGGAGUACGCCGGCAACGUUGAAACUCAAAGGAAUUGACGGGG
Molecule: ribosomal RNA, 392 nt
Filed under: uncultured bacterium
Lineage: Bacteria
Description: partial 16S ribosomal RNA
Rfam family: Bacterial small subunit ribosomal RNA
Source: RNAcentral